UUACGUUGACAACAAUGGACAGGAGUUUUCUGGCCGAAGUGCAUAUAUAUGUUACAGAAAGGAGAAAGGAGGGUUUAAUAAAUCAACAAAGAAGACUUCUGGUGGCAAAAGCAAGGCAGCUUCAAAGAAGAAAUAGAACCUCUGCAGAAACGAAUAUGUGCUGUGUGUACUUGUCAUGCUCAUGUUAAUAUGUUCUGGAACAGAAAUUUACUAUCAACCAAGUAUUGGUUUUCUCUGAUGAACAGAUAAUCGAAAAAGCUCUAUUCUUGAUGUUUG
RNAcentral lists this unclassified non-coding RNA (276 nucleotides) under Hevea brasiliensis (rubber tree). The record is from RNAcentral. Lineage: Eukaryota; Viridiplantae; Streptophyta; Magnoliopsida; Malpighiales; Euphorbiaceae.